Molecule: ribosomal RNA, 292 nt
Filed under: uncultured bacterium
Lineage: Bacteria
Description: partial 16S ribosomal RNA
Rfam family: Bacterial small subunit ribosomal RNA
Source: RNAcentral
GUGCCAGCCGCCGCGGUAAUACAGGGGGUGCGAGCGUUAAUCGGAAUUACUGGGCGUAAAGCGCGCGUAGGUGGUUUGUUAAGUCGGAUGUGAAAUCCCAGGGCUCAACCUUGGAAUGGCACCCGAUACUGGCAAGCUAGAGUAUGGUAGAGGGGUGUGGAAUUUCCUGUGUAGCGGUGAAAUGCGUAGAUAUAGGAAGGAACAUCAGUGGCGAAGGCGACACCCUGGACUGAUACUGACACUGAGGUGCGAAAGCGUGGGGAGCAAACAGGAUUAGAUACCCUAGUAGUCC